Molecule: ribosomal RNA, 477 nt
Filed under: uncultured bacterium
Lineage: Bacteria
Description: partial 16S ribosomal RNA
Rfam family: Bacterial small subunit ribosomal RNA
Source: RNAcentral
GACGAACGCUGGCGGCGUGCUUAACACAUGCAAGUCGAACGGUAAGGCCCUUCGGGGUACACGAGUGGCGAACGGGUGAGUAACACGUGGGUGAUCUGCCCUGCACUUCGGGAAAGCCUGGGAAACUGGGUCUAAUACCGGAUAGGACCACUGCCUGCAUGGGUGGUGGUGGAAAGCUUUUGCGGUGUGGGAUGGGCCCGCGGCCUAUCAGCUUGGGGGUGGGGUGAUGGCCUACCAAGGCGACGACGGGUAGCCGGCCUGGGAGGGUGACCGGCCACACUGGGACUGGGAUCCGGCCCAGACUCCUACGGGGGGCAGCGGUGGGGAAUAGUGCACAAGGGGCGCAAGCCUGAUGCAGCGACGCCGCGUGAGGGAUGACGGCCUUCGGGUUGUAAACCUCUUUCAGCACCGACGAAGCGCAAGUGACGGUAGGUGCAGAAGAAGGACCGGCCAACUACGUGCCAGCAGCCGCAGUAA